This 380-nucleotide ribosomal RNA is filed under the name Spiroplasma endosymbiont of Chrysolina varians. RNAcentral describes it as "bacterial SSU rRNA". It matches the Rfam family "Bacterial small subunit ribosomal RNA", at positions 167 to 535 of the family's 1533-position model. Lineage: Bacteria; Bacillati; Mycoplasmatota; Mollicutes; Entomoplasmatales; Spiroplasmataceae. The record is from RNAcentral.
UACCACAUAUGUUAUUUAUUUGCAAUAAUAAGUAAUAAAAGGAGCAUUUGCUUCGCUAAUUGAUGGGGAUGCGGCGCAUUAACUAGUUGGUAAGGUAAUGGCUUACCAAGGUAAUGAUGCGUAGCCGAUCUGAGAGGAUGAACGGCCACAUUGGGACUGAGACACGGCCCAAACUUCUACGGAAGGCAGCAGUAGGGAAUUUUUCACAAUGGGCGAAAGCCUGAUGGAGCAAUGCCGCGUGACUGAUGAAGGUCUUCGGAUUGUAAAGGUCUGUUGUAAGGGAAGAAGUGCUAGCAAAGGAAAUGAUGUUAGUAUCGACCAUACCUUAUAGAAAGCCACGGCUAACUAUGUGCCAGCAGCCGCGGUAAUACAUAGGUGGC